UUGAGGGCAUUUUUGAUUGUAAAAAAUAUGUGUGUACGUCACCGUAGUCUCUGCAAUGAUAAUUUUAUCAGAGCAGUCUCGCGCAAGUAGAAGUUCUUUACCUAUUAGUUCUUCACUUAUUAGUCUCAACGUCUGGCGCAAAGCCAGACGUUUUCCAUUACGAUUUCACUACGAUGUUUGACAAGAAGGAGCAGUGCGCGAGAUAUGCUAAUGAGCAGACUUCCCUCGCUUGAGUUUCUGAAGAAUGUUCCAUAUCGCGCUAAGCUCAUCACUGCUGAUUAUGACAGGCGUGCAACGGCACACAUCCACAGAGCACUCUUCAAAUCAUCUACACAGUGGUUAUCCAACUAGGAUUAUAAAGGCACACAUUGACAUAGACCACUGUUGCAAUCAACGACACAGUCGCUAUCCAAGUAGCAUUAUAGAGCUGUCAUGCAACGCAACAACUGUGCUAUCUGCCAUCGCACAUCAACGAAGAAGUGCAGCCGCCCACAUUCCACCUCACGUCUGUCCGACCAGCUGCAAUCCUCGAGGACGCCCCACUGUACCACGAUUUCACUACGAUGUUUGACAAGAAGGAGCAGUGCGCGAGAUAGGCUAAUGAGCAGACUUCCCUCGCUUGAGUUUCGGAAGAAUGUUCCAUAUCGCGCUAAGCUGACCACUGCUGACCAUGACAGGCGUGCAUUGGACUGGUACAGG
Molecule: long non-coding RNA, 699 nt
Organism: Lineus longissimus
Lineage: Eukaryota; Metazoa; Nemertea; Pilidiophora; Heteronemertea; Lineidae
Exons: 4
Source: RefSeq, a predicted model, not a curated record